This 402-nucleotide ribosomal RNA is filed under the name Bacteroidota bacterium. RNAcentral describes it as "Bacteroidetes bacterium partial 16S ribosomal RNA". It matches the Rfam family "Bacterial small subunit ribosomal RNA", at positions 355 to 776 of the family's 1533-position model. The record is from RNAcentral. Lineage: Bacteria; Pseudomonadati; Bacteroidota.
UGGGGAAUUUUGCACAAUGGGGGAAACCCUGAUGCAGCGACGCUGCGUGAUUUAGAAGGCCUUCGGGUUGUAAAAAUCUUUUCUAUGGGAAGAAAAUGACAGUACCAUAGGAAUAAGGACCGGCUAAUUACGUGCCAGCAGCCGCGGUAAUACGUAAGGUCCGAGCGUUGUCCGGAAUCAUUGGGCGUAAAGGGUACGUAGGCGGGUAAGCAAGUUAGAAGUGAAAUCCUGUAGCUCAACUACAGUAAGCUUUUAAAACUGCUCAUCUUGAGGUAUGGAAGGGAAAGUGGAAUUCCUAGUGUAGCGGUGAAAUGCGCAGAUAGUAGGAGGAAUACCGGUGGCGAAGGCGACUUUCUGGCCAUAAUCUGACGCUGAGGUACGAAAGCGUGGGUAGCAAACAGG